UCUUGGAAAAUCAUCCUGUGUCGAAGUUCCCCUUAGAUACAAACUUAUCUGGACCUGGUGAGGUUUUCCCAAACUCUGGAAAACUUAGGAUUUCUAAGAGAGAGCAGAUGAGUGAAACCUUUGAAACCCUUGAGGAUGAAUGUGAAGCCCAUCCUUUUCUCCUCCAAAACUAAAUUUUCUUAAUCCAUGCUAUUGGUCCAUAUCCCAAAACUUGCAGCACAUUUCAGGCCUCUAUAGGUUUCAGUCAGUAAUACCUAUGAUUUCCAAAGUAAUCCCAGUGACCUGGGAUGUUGUAAGGGUAUGGUCUGGGAUGCUGUAGGGGUGUGGCCUGAGAUGUCAUAGGGGUAUGCUAUGAGGAUGGGGAGCAAGGGAACACUACAGCUGAAGAGAGAAAGGCAUGGUGAUGCUCUCAUGCUUUCCCUGGGGAAGGAGCCCUGUGGCAGUGAUGCCUAUCCAUGGGGCAGUUACAUCCUCUCACACAGGUACAUAACAUUGAAGGCGUCGUUGACAGGCACUAGAGAUGGGCCCAACGGAAGGAGGUAUGUCACUGAGCACGUGCUCUGAAAGGAAAGUGUCUACAAACAGUUCCUGCCAGAGCAGCAUGAACUUCUUCCAGAGGUCCUGAGUUCGAUUCCCAGCAACCACAUGGUGGCUCACAAACAUCUGUAAUGGAAUCUGACGCCCUCUUCUGCUGUGUCUGAAGACAGCUACAGUGUACUCACAUAAAACAAACAAAUAAAUCUAAAAACAACCUUGAAAAGCUUUUCUCCUGUCUGAGUCCUGGAAAUAAUCAGGCUUCAGGAAGACAGUCUUCUCCUGUCACAAAAGCACUGAGCUUUGUCCUGUUUCACACCCCAAUGGUUUGGAUCAAGAAGAAGAAAGGAAGAAAGAGAGAGAGAAGAGAGAGAGAAGAUAGAAAAUGUAGGGAGGGAGAGAAAGAGAAAGAAGGGCUGCGUCAUUCAUUCUCUGUUGUGCUGGUGGAGCAGGCUAACUGUGUGGACUGGUGACAGGGUGACAGGUGACAUAAUCCUCCUCUGAGAACUUUUAC
Rattus norvegicus (Norway rat) is the source of this 1048-nucleotide non-coding RNA. NCBI's taxonomy places the organism in Eukaryota, Metazoa, Chordata, Mammalia, Rodentia, Muridae. The record is from RefSeq and is a predicted model, not a curated record.